CCUACGGGGGGCAGCAGUGAGGAAUAUUGGUCAAUGGGCGCGAGCCUGAACCAGCCAAGUAGCGUGAAGGAUGACUGCCCUACGGGUUGUAAACUUCUUUUAUAAGGGAAUAAAGUGAGGCACGUGUGCCUUUUUGUAUGUACUUUAUGAAUAAGGAUCGGCUAACUCCGUGCCAGCAGCCGCGGUAAUACGGAGGAUCCGAGCGUUAUCCGGAUUUAUUGGGUUUAAAGGGAGCGUAGAUGGGUUUUUAAGUCAGUUGUGAAAGUUUGCGGCUCAACCGUAAAAUUGCAAUUGAUACUGGGAGGCUUGAGGAUAGUUGAGGGAGGCGGAAUUCGUGGUGUAGCGGUGAAAUGCUUAGAUAUCACGAAGAACCCCGAUUGCGAAGGCAGCUUACCAAACUGCCACUGACAUUGAUGCUCGAAAGUGUGGGGAUCAAACAGGAUUAGAUACCCGGGUAGUC
This 460-nucleotide ribosomal RNA is filed under the name uncultured bacterium. Its description in RNAcentral is "partial 16S ribosomal RNA". It matches the Rfam family "Bacterial small subunit ribosomal RNA", at positions 338 to 795 of the family's 1533-position model. The record is from RNAcentral.